UACGUAGGGUGCGAGCGUUGUCCGGAAUUAUUGGGCGUAAAGGGCUCGUAGGCGGUCUGUUGCGUCGGGAGUGAAAACUCAGGGCUUAACCCUGAGCCUGCUUCCGAUACGGGCAGACUAGAGGUAUGCAGGGGAGAACGGAAUUCCUGGUGUAGCGGUGAAAUGCGCAGAUAUCGGGAAGAACACCCGUGGCGAAGGCGGCUCUCUGGAACGCAACUGACGCUGAGACGCGAAAGCGUGGGGAGCAAACAGG
This 253-nucleotide ribosomal RNA is filed under the name uncultured bacterium. RNAcentral describes it as "partial 16S ribosomal RNA". It matches the Rfam family "Bacterial small subunit ribosomal RNA", at positions 524 to 776 of the family's 1533-position model. The record is from RNAcentral.